CAGAUCUGCCAGAGGAGGGAGGUGAGCAAGCUAAAGGUGAUGAACCUCAAACUGAGAAGUAGUUGGGAUAGAAGAUAUUGAUUUUUUCAGACUGGGUUCAUUGGAGAGGAAAAGACGAGCUAGAGUGACCAUUUGUCUCGUGUGUAUUUGCUCUGAGCAGAUGCUUCCAGACUAUGGUUGUCUUCUUUGCUUUUAGAACAUAAUUGAACUUGCUACUUGCAUAUUUGUGGUAUACUUUUUAAAUCCAUAGCUUUAACGACUUGUUAGGUCGGUCCCUUCUUGUAUGCCUAUCUACUUUCUGUUUUAAGUAUGCCAUUUUCACUUAAAUUUUUUCUUUCAAAAAAAAAAAAAAAAAA
Molecule: unclassified non-coding RNA, 356 nt
Filed under: Hevea brasiliensis (rubber tree)
Lineage: Eukaryota; Viridiplantae; Streptophyta; Magnoliopsida; Malpighiales; Euphorbiaceae
Source: RNAcentral